CCUGGACAUAAAGGGCUUCGUAGCUACCAUGUCGGCUAGAACUUUGAGUUCCCUGAAAAGAACGACCCAGUGAAGAGGAAUGCAACUCAGGCCUGUGAUCCGUCAUCCCAUAUUCACAACCACUGAAGACAUAUGUGGAUCCAGAAUCUUUAUGGGUCAGGCAAGAGUCGUCUAUUCCUGCUCAGAUAGCACUGGGACAAGAAGGAAACAGCAUAGUUCUGUAAAUAAUCAGAAGCGUCUUGUCAGGGUGAGCCCUGGAUGUGAUAAGAGGAGGAACCAACAGACCCCAUCGUUGGGGGAGAGUGCUUUCCUUCCCCCUGAGACUUUCAAUGCCCAGGCCUAACAGCCUUGACUCUGCUGUCAGUGUUGCUCUCAGAAGACCGUGUCUAGACCCCAGUGCUUACUUGACUCCAGCAUAACCACGUUUCCCAAUCAUCCUCCCUUUUCCCCAGCCAAGCUUGUCCAAAACUUUUAAUCUCACUUCUGAAAUCUCUUUUGUUUGCCAAGAAUAGAAUCUCCUAUUUCAAAUCCACUCCUUUUUAAAUUUUUUUUGUAAUG
Long non-coding RNA from Rhinolophus ferrumequinum (greater horseshoe bat), 558 nucleotides. RefSeq lists it as uncharacterized. The transcript has 3 exons. The record is from RefSeq and is a predicted model, not a curated record. NCBI's taxonomy places the organism in Eukaryota, Metazoa, Chordata, Mammalia, Chiroptera, Rhinolophidae.